CAUCUCUUUUAGAUUAAAAUUUUAAGUUGACUCUGCCCAAUGAAUAAAUUUAAUGGCUGCAGUAAUUUGACUGUACAAAGGUAGCAUAAUAAAUUGUUUUUUAAUUGAAAACUUGAAUGAAAGAGGUGAUGAAAUAUAAACUUUUUUUAAAUAAAAUUUUGAAUUUAAUUUUUAAAUAAAAAAGUUUAAAUAAUUUUAAGGGACGAGAAGACCCUAUAGAAUUUUACAAUAUUAAUUUAUUAUAAAUAGAUUUAGUUAAAUAUUGUUUAUUUGGGAGGAAUUUUAAAAUUUUAAACUUUAAUAUUAAUAAACAUAUAUAAAUGGAUAAAGUGAUUUUAAUUAAUUUAAAUUUAAGAUUAAAUUACCUUAGGGAUAACAGCGUAAUAUUUUUUGAUAGUUCAUAUUAAAAAAAGUGUUU
RNAcentral lists this ribosomal RNA (418 nucleotides) under Epyris sp. RNAcentral's name for it is "partial large subunit ribosomal RNA". The record is from RNAcentral. Lineage: Eukaryota; Metazoa; Arthropoda; Insecta; Hymenoptera; Bethylidae.